UCUAGGUUUAAGCGAAAAUAAAAUGCGCUUUUCGAAUUUUGUGAGUAUUUUACGACCAGUCCUUCAAAAACUGAUUUUUGAGUCGUGUCAAAUAGAGGGCGUGUUGAUUGUGUCCGUUAUGGGCUUACUUGUGGCGGUUUGUUGUUAAAAAUUAAGUUGUCUUUUUUUCGAAAAUUACCAGUCAAUUCAUAGGUAAAUUCGAGUGAUUUCGUCUGUAACUUGUCGGUGAUGUGUUCUAUUACGUGUAAAUGUUGAUAACCUGAAUGUUUUUCAUCAACUUACGGGAGAAAACGUGAAAGAGUCGUGUGCCCGUCGUGCAGUCUACUGUCAACCAUUUUGUUCAAAAUCAUUGUAUUCUACCAAAUAUACCAUCAAAAUUAUAUAAGAUUCAUCAUAAUUACCUGCUGUUUGUAUUGGAGUAAUUGGAUUCACUAGAUCACCAACCCCAGCAUGGAAAAAUCUCUCAUUCCAUCUUCUAGAGAACCUUGGAUAACUGAUUUGUGGUUCCAUGUAUCAUAGACGUCAAGCAUUGAUGACACAAAUUAAUCAUUUGUAAUCAUAAACAAGAUGAAUUUAUUUGUUUAAAUAUUUGCUGAUUCUAUACUAAAGUUUUCUAAAGAGAAGUCAUGUCCUUUGAAGAAAAAGAACAAGGUACAAAGUCAACAAGAUCCCUUGUUUGGUAACCUGUUGGCUGCUACCCUUGAAUCUCCCUUUUUACUUCCUUACUUGACCCUCUUGAUUUGAGGGUAAUUCAUCGCUGCUUGUCAUGGACAUGGACAUCAUCCACUGGUGAUGAAAAUUAACAAGAGAAUGCUGUAAUUCAAGAUUGAUAUAUUGUAUAAUUGUUUGAUAAAUUACUAUGAAUAUCUGGACUCCCUUCUUUUCUGUAAUUUUGUGCAAUAUAAAACUCGUAAUAAAUUUUUCCAUUUACGGUUUUA
Daphnia pulicaria is the source of this 938-nucleotide long non-coding RNA. RefSeq lists it as uncharacterized. The transcript has 4 exons. The record is from RefSeq and is a predicted model, not a curated record. Lineage: Eukaryota; Metazoa; Arthropoda; Branchiopoda; Diplostraca; Daphniidae.